Molecule: non-coding RNA, 24 nt
Filed under: Arabidopsis thaliana (thale cress)
Lineage: Eukaryota; Viridiplantae; Streptophyta; Magnoliopsida; Brassicales; Brassicaceae
Also listed under: 9 other names
Source: RNAcentral
AAAACGACUCUCGGCAACGGAUAU